AGUGAAGAGGCUCAGGGUGGAGCACGUGCUUAGCAGGCACGAGGUCCUGGGUUCAAUCCCCAGUACCUCCA
RNAcentral lists this transfer RNA (71 nucleotides) under Camelus bactrianus (Bactrian camel). It matches the Rfam family "tRNA". Rfam says of the family: Transfer RNA (tRNA) molecules are approximately 80 nucleotides in length. Their secondary structure includes four short double-helical elements and three loops (D, anti-codon, and T loops). RNAcentral also lists the same sequence under 2 other names. Lineage: Eukaryota; Metazoa; Chordata; Mammalia; Artiodactyla; Camelidae. The record is from Rfam by way of RNAcentral.